CGGGGUGUACGGUGCGGGUUGUACGGUGUGCGGGGUGUACGGGAGCGGGGCUCAGGGCCGCCCGGUGCCCGCUGCCGCCAGCGCCCCCGCCGUGCCGCGGAUCCCCGGGCCCCGCCGCCGGGCCCGCCCCCCUCCCCCCCUCCCCCCCCCCCCGCCGGGCCUUGGUACGCUCCGCGGGGCGGGGCGGGGAGGAGCCGCCGCCGCCGCCGCCUCCUCCGACACGGGGCGCCGGUGGGAGCCCGGGCGAGCGCGGGGCGGGGGGGGGGGGAGGGAGGGAAGAGAGGGAGGGCGGGCGCGGCGAAGAGAUAAGCGGCGCGGCCGGGCGGCGUUGGAUGGCGGCUCCCGCCCGCCGGGUCGCCCGCCCCAGCCUGGAAUGUCCUGGGGAGCCGCCGCCGAGCGGGACCGGGAGCGGGACCGGCCGCCGGCGUUGGGAGAGCUUGCUGGAGGCGACCGAUGGACGAGGUGUUGGCGUUCAGCUGGAAUCGCCUCAGAACUGAGCUUGCUGUCCUCCAACAGAGCUUGGCCGUGGCUGCUCUUCUUCUCAUGAACCUCCUCUCGGCUCCAAACCUCCCUCCCGGGCGUGAGGAGGGCGCCGCUGGAAGCUGAGCUUUGGGCAGCGCGUGUGGACACAAGCUCCUUUGUCUGAGGGUCUGACAGGUUUUUCUGAUGGCCAGAGCCAGCCUGUGCUCCUAGUCUGUGGUGUUGGUGUGGUUUUUUUUUUUUUUUUUUUAAAACAUGCUUGAUUCUGGUUAUAGAAACUGCUGAGAAACUAUAAACGUGGGUGAUCAUCCUUGGUGUGCAAAAUGCAAACUUUUUUAGGGGGAAAAGAGCCGGCCUGAGGCAGUGCAGCAGCUCCCUGCUGUGUGCACGUGUGGUUCCGAUGACUGGGACGGCGAGUCCCUCACCUCGCUUGAGGAGAAAGGGCAUGUAUCACUUGGAGUUGGGUUUCAUAUGGGUUUUUUUUUCUUUAUUUUUGCUCGCAUUCUUGCAGUCGAAAGCUUAUUAAAGGUACUGGGGUGGUGCUUCCCCAGGUGAUCCGAGGCCUCGCGCUGUUCUGAGUGUGGAGUUCCCUUUCCUGGGUGUCCCUUCCUUUCCCCUCCGUCGGGCGAGUGCUCCCAACUGCUCCCUCGUCCAGGUGAAAACUAAACCUCCUUCUUCUUUGGCUGAGUUUUCCCCCGGCUCCGCCAGCCGGUCUGACUCACUCAGCGGCCGCACGAUCCUUGGUACAGAUAGGUGAACGCAAGCCAGGUCCUGAAGGAAGGUGCUGCUGCCCUCCUGGCUUCAAAUUGGCUCGAACCGGUUGCGAAAGCUCACUCUUGGGAGAAAUCACUGGUUUGAAAAGUAAAAACAGGACCCUGGCUCCGAGGCUGAGGGCAGGAGGGAGCAGAGAGGGGUGUUUGCAGAAGGACCCUUUGAGACCCGUCUGGAGGUGAGCGGAGCUGGUGGUGGUGGUGACAGAGCGGGUACAGGUGGGGAGCUACGGAUUGGGAAGAAAAUGGGAAUUAUCAGGCAAAGUAAUCCCUGGCCAGGAGGGAAUGAGAGGGGUGAGGUCUCGGAGGCUGUGAAGAGCAAAGGGUGAGAAUUCUGUUGGUCCACAGUUACUCUGAUGGAACUGUUAGACUAAUGAUACCUUCGGAUCCCUCGAGGUCUAAAAGCCCUUAUUUAGGCAUUUAAGCAUAAUUGCAGCCCAGCAGAACUGUAUAUUAGGCUAAUGCUCUGUUCUUUUUCCUCCCCCGAGGCUAGAAGAGUCAGGAACCAUACCCACUUCAUUAGUGAGGCAGCAGGGGGACUGUCUCAGCUUUUUUUUUUUUUCUGAAGUUAAUAAUAAAAUUAACCUAAUUAUUAUGCCUGUUUGUGGC
RNAcentral lists this long non-coding RNA (1859 nucleotides) under Calidris pygmaea (Spoon-billed sandpiper). RNAcentral describes it as "lncRNA (ENSCPGG00000008105.1)". Lineage: Eukaryota; Metazoa; Chordata; Aves; Charadriiformes; Scolopacidae. The record is from RNAcentral.